RNAcentral lists this ribosomal RNA (253 nucleotides) under uncultured bacterium. RNAcentral's name for it is "partial 16S ribosomal RNA". It matches the Rfam family "Bacterial small subunit ribosomal RNA", at positions 524 to 776 of the family's 1533-position model. The record is from RNAcentral.
UACGUAGGGUGCGAGCGUUGUCCGGAAUUAUUGGGCGUAAAGGGCUCGUAGGCGGUUUGUCGCGUCGGGAGUGAAAACCUCGGGCUUAACUCGGGGCUUGCUUUCGAUACGGGCAGACUAGAGGUAUGCAGGGGAGAACGGAAUUCCUGGUGUAGCGGUGAAAUGCGCAGAUAUCAGGAGGAACACCGGUGGCGAAGGCGGGUCUCUGGGCCGAUAUCGACGCUGAGGAGCGAAAGCGUGGGGAGCGAACAGG